AUUGAACGCUGGCGGCAGGCUUAACACAUGCAAGUCGAACGAGUGGCGGACGGGUGAGUAAAGCUUGGGAAUCUAGCUUAUGGAGGGGGAUAACUACGGGAAACUGUAGCUAAUACCGCGUACCAUAGGUUGAGCCCAAGUGGGAUUAGGUAGUUGGUGAGGUAAAGGCUCACCAAGCCGACGAUCGCUAGCUGGUGUGAGAGGAUGACCAGCCAAACUGGAACUGAGACACGGCCCAGACUCCUGCGGGAGGCAGCGGUGGGGAAUAUUGCGCAAUGGGGGCAACCUGACGCAGCCAUGCCGAGUGAAUGAAGAAGGCUUUCGGGUUGUAAAGUUCUUUCGGUAGGGAGGCGUUAACUACAGAAGAAGCACCGGCUAACUCCGUGCCAGCAGCCGCGGUAAUAC
This 405-nucleotide ribosomal RNA is filed under the name uncultured bacterium. RNAcentral describes it as "partial 16S ribosomal RNA". It matches the Rfam family "Bacterial small subunit ribosomal RNA", at positions 30 to 526 of the family's 1533-position model. The record is from RNAcentral.